Molecule: ribosomal RNA, 1016 nt
Filed under: Talaromyces funiculosus
Lineage: Eukaryota; Fungi; Ascomycota; Eurotiomycetes; Eurotiales; Trichocomaceae
Description: SSU rRNA
Rfam family: Eukaryotic small subunit ribosomal RNA
Source: RNAcentral
AGCACUCUUUUACUGUGAAACUGCGAAUGGCUCAUUAAAUCAGUUAUCGUUUAUUUGAUAGUACCCUACUACAUGGAUACCUGUGGUAAUUCUAGAGCUAAUACAUGCGCAAAACCCCGACUUCGGAAGGGGUGUAUUUAUUAGAUAAAAAACCAAUGCCCUUCGGGGCUCCUUGGUGAUUCAUAAUAACUUCACGAAUCGCAUGGCCUUGCGCCGGCGAUGGUUCAUUCAAAUUUCUGCCCUAUCAACUUUCGAUGGUAGGAUAGUGGCCUACCAUGGUGGCAACGGGUAACGGGGAAUUAGGGUUCGAUUCCGGAGAGGGAGCCUGAGAAACGGCUACCACAUCCAAGGAAGGCAGCAGGCGCGCAAAUUACCCAAUCCCGAUACGGGGAGGUAGUGACAAUAAAUACUGAUACAGGGCUCUUUUGGGUCUUGUAAUUGGAAUGAGAACAAUCUAAAUCCCUUAACGAGGAACAAUUGGAGGGCAAGUCUGGUGCCAGCAGCCGCGGUAAUUCCAGCUCCAAUAGCGUAUAUUAAAGUUGUUGCAGUUAAAAAGCUCGUAGUUGAACCUUGGGCCCGUCCUGCCGGUCCGCCUCACCGCGAGUACUGGUCCGGAUGGGCCUUUCUUUCUGGGGAAUCCCAUGGCCUUCACUGGCUGUGGCGGGGAACCAGGACUUUUACUGUGAAAAAAUUAGAGUGUUCAAAGCAGGCCUUUGCUCGGAUACAUUAGCAUGGAAUAAUAGAAUAGGACGUGCGGUUCUAUUUUGUUGGUUUCUAGGACCGCCGUAAUGAUUAAUAGGGAUAGUCGGGGGCGUCAGUAUUCAGCUGUCAGAGGUGAAAUUCUUGGAUUUGCUGAAGACUAACUACUGCGAAAGCAUUCGCCAAGGAUGUUUUCAUUAAUCAGGGAACGAAAGUUAGGGGAUCGAAGACGAUCAGAUACCGUCGUAGUCUUAACCAUAAACUAUGCCGACUAGGGAUCGGGCGGGGUUUCUAUGAUGACCCGCUCGGCACCUUAC